CUCAGAUUGAACGCUGGCGGAAUGCUUUACACAUGCAAGUCGAACGGUAGAGGGGGCAACCCUUGAGAGUGGCGAACGGGUGAGUAAUAUAUCGGAACGUGCCCAGUCGUGGGGGAUAACGUAGCGAAAGCUACGCUAAUACCGCAUACGAUCUAUGGAUGAAAGCGGGGGAUCGCAAGACCUCGCGCGAUUGGAGCGGCCGAUAUCAGAUUAGGUAGUUGGUGAGGUAAAGGCUCACCAAGCCGACGAUCUGUAGCUGGUCUGAGAGGACGACCAGCCACACUGGGACUGAGACACGGCCCAGACUCCUACGGGAGGCAGCAGUGGGAAUUUUGGACAAUGGGCGCAAGCCUGAUCCAGCAAUGCCGCGUGCAGGAUGAAGGCCUUCGGGUUGUAAACUGCUUUUGUACGGAACGAAACGGUGAGCUCUAAUACAGUUUGCUAAUGACGGUACCGUAAGAAUAAGCACCGGCUAACUACGUG
RNAcentral lists this ribosomal RNA (483 nucleotides) under uncultured bacterium. RNAcentral's name for it is "bacterial SSU rRNA". It matches the Rfam family "Bacterial small subunit ribosomal RNA", at positions 23 to 507 of the family's 1533-position model. The record is from RNAcentral.